CCUACGGGAGGCUGCAGUGGGGAAUAUUGGACAAUGGGCGAAAGCCUGAUCCAGCCAUGCCGCGUGUGUGAAGAAGGCCUUCGGGUUGUAAAGCACUUUCAGUGGGGAAGAAAGUCUUGGGGCUAAUACCCUCGAGGAAGGACAUCACCCACAGAAGAAGCACCGGCUAACUCCGUGCCAGCAGCCGCGGUAAUACGGAGGGUGCGAGCGUUAAUCGGAAUUACUGGGCGUAAAGCGCGCGUAGGCGGUCUGAUAAGCCGGUUGUGAAAGCCCCGGGCUCAACCUGGGAACGGCAUCCGGAACUGUCAGGCUAGAGUGCAGGAGAGGAAGGUAGAAUUCCCGGUGUAGCGGUGAAAUGCGUAGAGAUCGGGAGGAAUACCAGUGGCGAAGGCGGCCUUCUGGACUGACACUGACGCUGAGGUGCGAAAGCGUGGGUAGCAAACAGGAUUAGAUACCCCUGUAGUC
This 465-nucleotide ribosomal RNA is filed under the name Vreelandella stevensii. RNAcentral's name for it is "partial 16S ribosomal RNA". It matches the Rfam family "Bacterial small subunit ribosomal RNA", at positions 338 to 795 of the family's 1533-position model. Lineage: Bacteria; Pseudomonadati; Pseudomonadota; Gammaproteobacteria; Oceanospirillales; Halomonadaceae. The record is from RNAcentral.